RNAcentral lists this ribosomal RNA (429 nucleotides) under Bacteroidota bacterium. Its description in RNAcentral is "Bacteroidetes bacterium partial 16S ribosomal RNA". It matches the Rfam family "Bacterial small subunit ribosomal RNA", at positions 355 to 776 of the family's 1533-position model. The record is from RNAcentral. Lineage: Bacteria; Pseudomonadati; Bacteroidota.
UAGGGAAUCUUCGGCAAUGGGGGGAACCCUGACCGAGCAACGCCGCGUGAGUGAAGAAGGUUUUCGGAUCGUAAAGCCUUGUUGUUAAGGAAGAACGAGUGUGAGAAUGGAAAGUUCAUACUGUGCCGGUACUUAACCAGAAAGGGACGGCUAACUACGUGCCAGCAGCCGCGGUAAUAUGUAGGUCGCGAGCGUUGUCCGGAUUUAUUGGGCGUAAAGUGGGCGCAGGCGGUUAGAUAAGUCUGAAGUUAAAGGCAGUGGCUCAACCAUUGUAGGCUUUGGAAACUGUUUAACUUGGGUGCAGAAGGGGAGAGUGUAAUUCCAUGGGUAGCGGUGAAUUUCGUGGUACUAUGGAGGAACACCGGUGGCGAAGGCGGCUCUCUGGUCUGUAACUGACGCGGAGGCUCGAAAGCGUGGGGAGCGAACAGG